Molecule: ribosomal RNA, 1008 nt
Filed under: Saccharothrix sp. YIM 75755
Lineage: Bacteria; Bacillati; Actinomycetota; Actinomycetes; Pseudonocardiales; Pseudonocardiaceae
Description: bacterial SSU rRNA
Rfam family: Bacterial small subunit ribosomal RNA
Source: RNAcentral
CUGUUGGUGCUUACCAUGCAGUCGAGCGGUAAGGCCCUUCGGGGUACACGAGCGGCGAACGGGUGAGUAACACGUGGGUAACCUGCCCUGUACUCCGGGAUAAGCCUGGGAAACUAGGUCUAAUACCGGAUACGACCCCAUGGGGCAUCUUGUGGGGUGGAAAGUUCCGGCGGUAUGGGAUGGACCCGCGGCCUAUCAGCUUGUUGGUGGGGUGAUGGCCUACCAAGGCGACGACGGGUAGCCGGCCUGAGAGGGUGACCGGCCACACUGGGACUGAGACACGGCCCAGACUCCUACGGGAGGCAGCAGUGGGGAAUAUUGCACAAUGGGCGAAAGCCUGAUGCAGCGACGCCGCGUGAGGGAUGACGGCCUUCGGGUUGUAAACCUCUUUCAGCAGGGACGAAGCGUGAGUGACGGUACCUGCAGAAGAAGCACCGGCUAACUACGUGCCAGCAGCCGCGGUAAUACGUAGGGUGCGAGCGUUGUCCGGAAUUAUUGGGCGUAAAGAGCUCGUAGGCGGUUUGUUGCGUCGGCCGUGAAAACUUCACGCUUAACGUGGAGCCUGCGGUCGAUACGGGCAGACUUGAGUUCGGCAGGGGAGACUGGAAUUCCUGGUGUAGCGGUGAAAUGCGCAGAUAUCAGGAGGAACACCGGUGGCGAAGGCGGGUCUCUGGGCCGAUACUGACGCUGAGGAGCGAAAGCGUGGGGAGCGAACAGGAUUAGAUACCCUGGUAGUCCACGCCGUAAACGGUGGGUGCUAGGUGUGGGGGGCUUCCACGUCCUCCGUGCCGCAGCUAACGCAUUAAGCACCCCGCCUGGGGAGUACGGCCGCAAGGCUAAAACUCAAAGGAAUUGACGGGGCCCGCACAAGCGGCGGAGCAUGUGGAUUAAUUCGAUGCACGCGAGACCUUACCUGGGCUUGACAUGCACCGGAACCUGCAGAGAUGUAGGCCUCUUCGGACUGGUGUACAGUGGUGCAUGGCUGUCGUCAGCUCGUGUCGUGAGAUG